RNAcentral lists this ribosomal RNA (854 nucleotides) under uncultured cyanobacterium. RNAcentral describes it as "bacterial SSU rRNA". It matches the Rfam family "Bacterial small subunit ribosomal RNA", at positions 527 to 1382 of the family's 1533-position model. The record is from RNAcentral. Lineage: Bacteria; Bacillati; Cyanobacteriota.
GGGAGUGGCAAGCGUUAUCCGGAAUUAUUGGGCGUAAAGCGUCCGCAGGCGGCCCUUCAAGUCUGCUGUUAAAAAGUGGAGCUUAACUCCAUCAUGGCAGUGGAAACUGUUGGGCUUGAGUGUGGUAGGGGCAGAGGGAAUUCCCGGUGUAGCGGUGAAAUGCGUAGAUAUCGGGAAGAACACCAGUGGCGAAGGCGCUCUGCUGGGCCAUCACUGACGCUCAUGGACGAAAGCCAGGGGAGCGAAAGGGAUUAGAUACCCCUGUAGUCCUGGCCGUAAACGAUGAACACUAGGUGUCGGGGGAAUCGACCCCCUCGGUGUCGUAGCCAACGCGUUAAGUGUUCCGCCUGGGGAGUACGCACGCAAGUGUGAAACUCAAAGGAAUUGACGGGGGCCCGCACAAGCGGUGGAGUAUGUGGUUUAAUUCGAUGCAACGCGAAGAACCUUACCAGGGUUUGACAUCCUGCGAAUCUCUUGGAAACAGAGAGUGCCUUCGGGAACGCAGUGACAGGUGGUGCAUGGCUGUCGUCAGCUCGUGUCGUGAGAUGUUGGGUUAAGUCCCGCAACGAGCGCAACCCACGUCUUUAGUUGCCAGCAUUUAGUUGGGCACUCUAGAGAGACUGCCGGUGAUAAACCGGAGGAAGGUGUGGAUGACGUCAAGUCAUCAUGUCCCUUACAUCCUGGGCUACACACGUACUACAAUGCUACGGACAAAGGGCAGCAAGUUCGCGAGGACAAGCAAAUCCCAUAAACCGUGGCUCAGUUCAGAUCGUAGGCUGCAACUCGCCUACGUGAAGGCGGAAUCGCUAGUAAUCGCCGGUCAGCAUACGGCGGUGAAUCCGUUCCCGGGCCUU